AUACCCGCUGAACUUAAGCAUAUCAAUAAGCGGAGGAAAAGAAACCAACAGGGAUUGCCUCAGUAACGGCGAGUGAAGCGGCAUUAAGCUCAAAUUUAAAAUCUGGCCCCUCUCCGGGCCCGAGUUGUAAUUUGGAGAGGAUGCUUCGGGGGCGGCGGCGGUCUAAGUCCCUUGGAACAGGGCGUCGCAGAGGGUGAGAAUCCCGUAUGUGACUGGCGACCAACCCCGUGUGAAGCUCCUUCGACGAGUCGAGUUGUUUGGGAAUGCAGCUCUAAAUGGGUGGUAAAUUUCAUCUAAAGCUAAAUAUUGGCCGGAGACCGAUAGCGCACAAGUAGAGUGAUCGAAAGAUGAAAAGCACUUUGGAAAGAGAGUCAAAAAGUACGUGAAAUUGUUGAAAGGGAAGCGCUCGCAACCAGACCUGCCCGCGGGCGAUCAGCGGUGGGGUUCCGCCGUGCACUCGCCUGUGACCAGGCCAGCAUCGGUUUCGGUGGCUGGAAAAAGACUCCGGGAAGGUAGCUCCCUCCGGGGAGUGUUAGAGCCCGGGGUGCAAUACGGCCAGCCGGGGCCGAGGACCGCGCUUCGGCUAGGAUGCUGGCGUAAUGGUCGUGAGCGACCCGUCUUGAAACACGGACCAAGGAGUCUAACAUCUAUGCGAGUGUUCGGGCAUCAAACCCGCACGCGCAAUGAAAGUGAACGGAGGUGGGAGCCCUUUAGGGUGCACCAUCGACCGAUCCAGAAGUUUACGGAUGGAUUUGAGUAGGAGCAUAGCUGUUGGGACCCGAAAGAUGGUGAACUAUGCCUGAAUAGGGUGAAGCCAGAGGAAACUCUGGUGGAGGCUCGCAGCGGUUCUGACGUGCAAAUCGAUCGUCAAAUUUGGGUAUAGGGGCGAAAGACUAAUCGAACCAUCUAGUAGCUGGUUCCUGC
This 924-nucleotide ribosomal RNA is filed under the name Phyllopsora longiuscula. Its description in RNAcentral is "LSU rRNA". It matches the Rfam family "Eukaryotic large subunit ribosomal RNA", at positions 21 to 961 of the family's 3401-position model. Lineage: Eukaryota; Fungi; Ascomycota; Lecanoromycetes; Lecanorales; Ramalinaceae. The record is from RNAcentral.